GCUACACAUGCAAGUCGAGCGGUAGCACAGAGAGCUUGCUCUCGGGUGACGAGCGGCGGACGGGUGAGUAAUGUCUGGGAAACUGCCUGAUGGAGGGGGAUAACUACUGGAAACGGUAGCUAAUACCGCAUAACGUCGCAAGACCAAAGUGGGGGACCUUCGGGCCUCAUGCCAUCAGAUGUGCCCAGAUGGGAUUAGCUGGUAGGUGGGGUAACGGCUCACCUAGGCGACGAUCCCUAGCUGGUCUGAGAGGAUGACCAGCCACACUGGAACUGAGACACGGUCCAGACUCCUACGGGAGGCAGCAGUGGGGAAUAUUGCACAAUGGGCGCAAGCCUGAUGCAGCCAUGCCGCGUGUGUGAAGAAGGCCUUCGGGUUGUAAAGCACUUUCAGCGGGGAGGAAGGCGAUGAGGUUAAUAACCUCGUCGAUUGACGUUACCCGCAGAAGAAGCACCGGCUAACUCCGUGCCAGCAGCCGCGGUAAUACGGAGGGUGCAAGCGUUAAUCGGAAUUACUGGGCGUAAAGCGCACGCAGGCGGUCUGUCAAGUCGGAUGUGAAAUCCCCGGGCUCAACCUGGGAACUGCAUUCGAAACUGGCAGGCUAGAGUCUUGUAGAGGGGGGUAGAAUUCCAGGUGUAGCGGUGAAAUGCGUAGAGAUCUGGAGGAAUACCGGUGGCGAAGGCGGCCCCCCUGGACAAAGACUGACGCUCAGGUGCGAAAGCGUGGGGAGCAAAACAGGAUUAGAUACCCUGGUAGUCCACGCUGUAAACGAUGUCGAUUUGGAGGUUGUGCCCUUGAGGCGUGGCUUCCGGAGCUAACGCGUUAAAUCGACCGCC
This 836-nucleotide ribosomal RNA is filed under the name Klebsiella variicola. Its description in RNAcentral is "bacterial SSU rRNA". It matches the Rfam family "Bacterial small subunit ribosomal RNA", at positions 48 to 873 of the family's 1533-position model. The record is from RNAcentral. Lineage: Bacteria; Pseudomonadati; Pseudomonadota; Gammaproteobacteria; Enterobacterales; Enterobacteriaceae.